Sarcophilus harrisii (Tasmanian devil) is the source of this 1851-nucleotide long non-coding RNA. The record is from Ensembl. NCBI's taxonomy places the organism in Eukaryota, Metazoa, Chordata, Mammalia, Dasyuromorphia, Dasyuridae.
AGGAAUUCCAAAUGACAGACUUAAGUUUGGCAGGGCUCCUAUGACUAUGAUAUUUUCUUUUCUUUUAAAAUUUUUAUUAAUAGCAUUUUAUUAUUUUCCAAUUAUAUAUAAAAUAGUUUUCAAAAUUCAUUUUUGAAAGAUUUUAAAUUCCAAAUUUUUCUCCCUCUUUCUCUUUCCUUUCCUCUCCCCAAGACAACAAAUACUCCAGUAUGAGCUGUACCUGUACAAUUAUAUUAAACAUUUUCAUAUUAGUCAUUUUGUGAAAGAAAAGUCAGAACAAAAGGGAAAAAUCACAGAAAGAAAAAACAAAAAAUAAAUUUUAAAAAGUAAACUUUUAUCCUUUGAUCUGCAUUUAGUCUCCAUCUUUCUCUGGAUGCAGAUGAUAUUUUCCAUCACAAGAGUUUUGGAAAUGUCUUAGAUUACUGUAUUGCUGAGAAGAACUAAGUCUAUCAUAGUUGUUCAUCGCACAAUAUUGCUGUUACUAUAUAUAACGUUUUCCUGUUUCUGCUCACUUUACUUAGCAUCAAUUUAUACAUGAUUAUUAUCUUUUCAUCAGUUAUUUGCACAUUCACUACCCUCUCAUUUCCCUCUAGCUUGGCUUUUCUUACAUAAUGAAUGAAAUUGCAUCGACAACAAGGAGUAAUUUAUUCUUUCAAUAUAUUUAAAGGUUGUUUUUAUCUGAUUUGUUAUAGAUCUUCUGGAAAAGAAUCAGAAAAAAGAUGAAGAAAUGGAAUAUCUACAGGUAUCACUCACUGGUGAGAGAAACAAUUCAUUUGCAUCCCUGCUCUAUUCUAAUCAGUAUUAAUAAAUUUGAUAGAAUCAUAUCAAAGUUUUAUAUAGAUUUCCCCAGUUCUGUGAGCUGCAGAUUCUGAAUUCAUUUGCUUAAUAAUUAUGGGAAGUUAACUAAAGGCCUUCAUCCUUGUUUUGCCUUGUCAUUGUGGUCAAGCCCAGUGUAGCAGAGAUGGCAAUUACAUGGAAAGUUCCCCAAAAUAUUUUUGUACCUCUGGACCAAUCACUUGUCCAUAGGAGCAAGUGACCAUCUUAUGACUAUUGAUUAUCUUAUGACUAUUAAGGUCACUGACAAGUUUCACCUAAGUUGUGAUCCUGCUGAUAUUCAUAUUUUGGCCUAUUUAUUAUAUGUUAAGGAAUGAAAUCACUGUUAUAUUUACAUAACUGUAAUCCUAUGAAAAGUAUAGCCCUAACAGGAGGUGGCAUCUCAGAUCAUGAUGAAGAACUGAGGUCUACUUUAUUAGAGGGGACUAUGGACCUUUCAGUAAAGUGUCAUUGACUCACAGUUCUGCCUCAGUCUCUUAUUGUAAGUGGGAUAAUUUUAAUCCCCACAAUGGGGAGCAAAUAGGACAGAUUUAAUAUUGUAAAUUUAAUAUUGCUCAGAUUAUUUGGUUUCCUUCUGUUCUAUUCAUAUUUAAUAGUUUUCUUGCUUUUUAAAAAAAUUUUCCCCCCUAUUAAUACUUCCUAUCUCUUCUUCUCCAAGAAAAAAAGUCCUUUCAUGAUAAAUUAGCAUUGACACACACACAAAUCAAUGUAUUGAUUAUCUGAAAAUGUUUGUCACCUCUAUAUCUGACAGUAGAUAAUGUGAUCUGAAAUAAUCUCUUUCAAAUCAUGGUUAGUCACAGCACUGAUCAUAAUUUUUAAGCCCUUUAUUUUUUUUCCUUUUCAAUGUUUUAUUCACUGUAUAAUUUAUACCCCUACUUCUGUUCAGUUGCCUCUGAAGCAGUUCAAACAAAAGUUGCUCUAGCUUUCAUCAUGAUAAAUGGAUCAGGGGACUAAAACUGUGAGCCUGAAGUCAGGAAGAUCUCAGGUCAAAUCUGACCUCACUAGGUAACUUCUGCU